Molecule: ribosomal RNA, 468 nt
Filed under: uncultured bacterium
Lineage: Bacteria
Description: bacterial SSU rRNA
Rfam family: Bacterial small subunit ribosomal RNA
Source: RNAcentral
GGACCCGCACAAGUGGUGGAGCAUGUGGUUUAAUUCGAAGAUACGCGAAGAACCUUACCUAGCCUUGACAUUGAUAGAACACCGUAGAGAUACAGUGGUGCCCUUCGGGGAACUUGAAAACAGGUGCUGCACGGCUGUCGUCAGCUCGUGUCGUGAGAUGUUGGGUUAAGUCCCGCAACGAGCGCAACCCUCGUCUUUAGUUGCCAGCAGGUUAAGCUGGGCACUCUAAAGAGACUGCCUACGCAAGUAGGAGGAAGGUGAGGACGACGUCAAGUCAUCAUGGCCCUUAUGGCUAGGGCUACACACGUGCUACAAUGGGGCGUACAGAGAGUUGCGAUACCGCGAGGUGGAGCCAAUCUCAUAAAGCGUCUCUCAGUUCGGAUUGUUCUCUGCAACUCGAGAGCAUGAAGCUGGAAUCACUAGUAAUCGUAGAUCAGCAAUGCUACGGUGAAUACGUUCCCGGGUCUU